GUCUAGCCUGCCCACUGAAAUUUUUUAAAUGGCCGCAGUAUCUUAACUGUGCAAAGGUAGCAUAAUCAUUAGUCUUUUAAUUGAAGGCUGGUAUGAAUGGUUGGAUGAAAUAUUAACUGUUUCAUAUAAAUUUAUAAUAGAAUUUUAUUUUUUAGUUAAAAAGCUAAAAUAAUUUUAAAAGACGAGAAGACCCUAUAAAUCUUUAUAUAUAAGUUAUUUUAAUUAUAUAGAUAAAUUAAAUUAUUAUAAAUUUAUAUAUUUUAUUGGGGUGAUAUUAAAAUUUGUUAAACUUUUAAUUUAUAAUAAACAUAAAUUAAUGAAUUAUUGAUCCAUUAUUAAUGAUUAAGAAAUCAAGUUACUUUAGGGAUAACAGCGUAAUUUUUUUAGAGAGUUCAUAUUGAUAAAAAAGAUUGCGACCUCGAUGUUGGAUUAAGAUACAGUUUUAGGUGCAGCAGCUUAAACUUA
This 465-nucleotide ribosomal RNA is filed under the name Megaselia scalaris. RNAcentral describes it as "partial 16S ribosomal RNA". Lineage: Eukaryota; Metazoa; Arthropoda; Insecta; Diptera; Phoridae. The record is from RNAcentral.